AGAGUGAACGCUGGCGGCAGGCCUAAUACAUGCAAGUCGAACGGCAGCACGGCAGAGCUUGCUCUGUGGGUGGCGAGUGGCGGACGGGUGAGGAAUACAUGGGAAUCUGCCCAGUCGUGGGGGAUAACGUAGGGAAACUUACGCUAAUACCGCAUGCGCCCUUCGGGGGAAAGCCGGGACCUUCGGGCCUGGCGCGAUUGGAUGAGCCCAUGUCGGAUUAGCUAGUUGGCGGGGUAACGCCCACCAAGGCGACGAUCCGUAGCUGGUCUGAGAGGAUGAUCAGCCACACUGGAACUGAGACACGGUCCAGACUCC
Molecule: ribosomal RNA, 315 nt
Filed under: uncultured soil bacterium
Lineage: Bacteria
Description: bacterial SSU rRNA
Rfam family: Bacterial small subunit ribosomal RNA
Source: RNAcentral